ACUGUGAGCGAAUUUGACCGUUUGGAUCAGGCUCGACAAGACUCCCCUCAAAACAUCUACUCGACGGAGCUUCUUCAUCUGGUGAGAUAGCUUCAACAACAUCGAGUCAUGAAUAUUGCAAUGAGCAUGCUGUGCCUGAUGCUGUUCAUCGUUCACGCACAAGCACAAGAUUCAGACACGCCUCCGCAAAAAGAAAAAAUAAUUGACCCGGGUACUGUUAUGACAAUCGUCAAGGCAUGUGUGGGAAUUUAUAACUUUUUCAAGGAAAAAGAGUUUACCUGUCAAGUGGGAAUGGAGAGUGAUUUGAGUACAGUACGUUGUCUCCCUCAACAAGAAUCCUGUGUCACUGCAAACGUAACUGUUGGUAUUUACACAUUCAUCUACAAGAACUGUGCUUCGGACCUGGAUUGUGUCUUUAAAGAACGCAUUCGAAAAAUGGUCCUCAACGAUGUGGUAGAUGCAUUUGAGGAUUCUCGUGGGUGCAUCCUAAAUGGUUAUGAAUGCAACAGCGCCCCACAUGGUGGUCCACCUCGUUCCCUGGCUCUGCUUAUCCCUCCCAUUAUAUCCCUCCUUGUAUUUUCCAGCUAACUUUCUCGCAGAGCUAGGUACGCACAAUAACCCUACAGUUGCUGUUAAGUGUGAGACUAAUAUAUUCAAAGACAGUUGCUCUUAACUUUUUCACAAGGGGUACUCAUUUUAUGUUUGUAAUUAACAACCAUGAAUGAAUGUGUAUGUUAAUGUUACGUUAUUGCAAUCACAAUGAGUACUGUACUCGGUGUGCAUAAUAAUAAUAAUUUAAAAUUUGCUUUUAAUUGUGAAGAAAACCCCAUAAACUUAUGACCAUGAUAAGCACUGAACAAUAGUGCCACACGUUCCUUUCUACCUCUACCAAAGCGUCUCUCUACUCAGGAAUGCGUUUGUGUUUACUUAAUAGGAAGUUAAUUUAAAAGCUCAUAGUAAGAAUGGAUUGGAGUAGAAUGGUGAUGCAAAAGUUGGCACACUGCAUGAUGAACCUAGAGACCUGGGUCUGAUUCCCGGCCAUGGCUAACACCAGUGGCAAGUGAACCGGUCCUGGGCCCGCCUUCACCAUUCCACACUGCCCACACGCGGUGAAGCAUGAAACAACCGUCCACGACUGCAAUGUCAUGGGGAGGUCUUUGGUGAACAGUGGAGUUUAUAAAAGAACGUUCAACCAUUGAAUCAUGAAAACACAUGUAAACGAUCUAUACUUUCAUCAAUUUGUAAUGCGCUUGAACAAAUGCAGUUCAUGCUGGAGUAAACUACAUUAGCUUCCACUUCCCGAGUGGAAGGAUAAAGCCCUCUCCAGUUCACCCGCUCUGGUCUUCCACGCCCGUGGUUGCUGCCACUUGCAUUGUGCAGCUUCCUUGAACCAACGAUAAGCCCAUUCAUGAACGAUGAGACAGCGUUAUGGGUUAUUUUUUUUAUAUUAAAGUGUGUAACAAGGUGUGUUUAAUUAUGUUAUCAUAGACUGGGAAAACUACAUUAAAAAUAGAAACUACGUAAUUUAAUCGUUCGGGAAAAUAAUGGUGGUUAUGGACUUAUUUUUUUUAUGACAUGUGAUAUUGCUGGAAAAUAUAUAAUAAAUGUUGCCUUUCAA
Molecule: long non-coding RNA, 1618 nt
Organism: Lethenteron reissneri (Far Eastern brook lamprey)
Lineage: Eukaryota; Metazoa; Chordata; Hyperoartia; Petromyzontiformes; Petromyzontidae
Source: RefSeq, a predicted model, not a curated record